AUUGAACGCUGGCGGCAGGCCUAACACAUGCAAGUCGAGCGGAUGAAGGGAGCUUGCUCCUGGAUUCAGCGGCGGACGGGUGAGUAAUGCCUAGGAAUCUGCCUGGUAGUGGGGGAUAACGUCCGGAAACGGGCGCUAAUACCGCAUACGUCCUGAGGGAGAAAGUGGGGGAUCUUCGGACCUCACGCUAUCAGAUGAGCCUAGGUCGGAUUAGCUAGUUGGUGGGGUAAAGGCCUACCAAGGCGACGAUCCGUAACUGGCCUGAGAGGAUGAUCAGUCACACUGGAACUGAGACACGGUCCAGACUCCUACGGGAGGCAGCAGUGGGGAAUAUUGGACAGUGGGCGAAAGCCUGAUCCAGCCAGGCGGCGUGUGUGAAGAAGGUCUUCGGAUUGGAAAGCACUUUAAGUUGGGAGGAAGGGCGGUAAGUUAAUACCUUGCUGUUUUGACGUUACCAACAGAAUAAGCACCGGCUAACUUCGUG
This 484-nucleotide ribosomal RNA is filed under the name uncultured bacterium. Its description in RNAcentral is "partial 16S ribosomal RNA". It matches the Rfam family "Bacterial small subunit ribosomal RNA", at positions 30 to 507 of the family's 1533-position model. The record is from RNAcentral.